Molecule: long non-coding RNA, 98 nt
Organism: Sinocyclocheilus anshuiensis
Lineage: Eukaryota; Metazoa; Chordata; Actinopteri; Cypriniformes; Cyprinidae
Exons: 3
Source: RefSeq, a predicted model, not a curated record
UACAUUUACUCAAGGCUCAGACCGAUUUUUGUCGCACUGUACAGCCCUAUCCAAACCUGUUCCAGACUGUAGAAGGAGCUGCUCAAUUUCAAGUCCGC